UACGGAGGGUGCAAGCGUUAUCCGGAUUCACUGGGUUUAAAGGGUGCGUAGGCGGACUUGUAAGUCAGUGGUGAAAUCUCUCAGCUUAACUGAGAAACUGCCAUUGAUACUGCAGGUCUUGAGUACAGAUGAUGUUGGCGGAAUAUGACAUGUAGCGGUGAAAUGCAUAGAUAUGUCAUAGAACACCGAUUGCGAAGGCAGCUGACAAAACUGUAACUGACGCUGAGGCACGAAAGUGUGGGGAUCAAACAGG
RNAcentral lists this ribosomal RNA (253 nucleotides) under uncultured bacterium. Its description in RNAcentral is "partial 16S ribosomal RNA". It matches the Rfam family "Bacterial small subunit ribosomal RNA", at positions 524 to 776 of the family's 1533-position model. The record is from RNAcentral.